CCCCUGUAUAUAAAAAAUGUCAAGGUUACCUCACGUUUAAGUUCUACAGAGUGCGACGCUUAUCAGAAACACCAAAGAGGCAUUUCUAUAUGAAAACCCCUCGACAACAAGCGGAGCCCUAAAGAAACAGCCCCCAAAUAACAAGGCUACGGGUUGUGGGUUUCUGGAGAUGAUGUAUAGAAUAUGUAUCACAGCGUUUGAAAACAAGACGCUUGGUGAUUGGACUCUUACCAAGUUAACUGAGUCAUACUUGUAUCGUUUAAGCCUGCAUCUUGAAGCAACCUGGAAAGAAAUGGAGUGAAACGGUUUUAAGUAAUAAUCGAGGGAAAUUAAAGAGAAAAUUACUGUAGUUAGAGCGUUAUCAAGGUGGGAACUAAGCACUAGCAGGUAAAGAGAGAUUCAUCUUUGCAAGCAUCCGCUCAUCAAAACUGACAGAAAAAGUACGUACUGAGACAACGAACGAUAAGGAUGGUAUACAACCAGAUAAUAGUUGAGAGCUUCUAAAAUCUUCAUUUCCAUUUCAAGUAUGUCUUUGACCUCAUAUCUAUACUUAUCAUCUAAAUCUGUAAAAGAAAUGUGGCAGAUUGCCGUCAGUGCUUCAAUAUAAAUAGAACGACAAGUAAAUCAUAACAAAAAUUGGAGAAAGGCAUCUAUUAUUUCCAGGAACAAUUACUUACAAAUCUUUUUUUAUAUAAAAUACUAGAAGUUUAGCUUGCCUUGUGCUUUCUUCCGCUUUAGAUGCCAGGCACAGGCAGGUUGGAGCUACGAGACGUGGAUCAUACAUACUCUUCCUGAAGCAAUAAUGAAACGUUAUGCUUGGAAAGAAAAAUCACAACUAAAAUUCAAAGUGCUGCGAUGAUAAAUUACUAAACGGCAAGACCAAAGAAAGGAAUGCCAACAAUAACUGUGCAGUGAAUUGAGACAAAAUUGCGUUGUGAACCCAGAAUACAACAAUCAGAACAAUGCAAUCCGUACAAUAAAGAUUGAACACCCAUACGCAUGCAUACAUGGCACUGAACUUUUGGGGGGAAUUAAGUACUACAAAGUUGAUAAGUUCAGACACUCAUCUAAACAACAUCUGAUAAAUAAGUGGGGUGAACAAUAUGCAGAUGAAAACAAACAAACAACAGGCACGUUCAAUCAUGAUUGACAAUCAAUGAGUCGAGGAUAUGCGUAGGUUAGCUUAGCUAUUGAGAUAAAUCAGUUCAGAGACAGAAAAAAAAAACGUAGCUUAGCUAAAGAAAUUAUUAACUUGACAGAUAUGAACUCAGUUAUGAAAGGAAGGAUUUGGGGGUUAAGUUUAACAGCCUCAGGACUAUCAAAAGAGAACAACCACAAAUAAGCAAUAAGCCAUGAACUUAUGGCUAGUGACUGAGCAUUUCUCGUACAAUAUGACAAUUAGUUAACGUACUUGGUGUACACACGUCUCAUAUAUGUAACUGCGGUAGCUACAACCCUGAAACCAGUAAAUAGGAAAUCAGAUAGAUAGGCAGAAGUGAAUUAAGGAUUUUCCAGAACAUAAGCAGAUGAGGAAAUUAGCCCGACCUUUGUCUCA
RNAcentral lists this long non-coding RNA (1555 nucleotides) under Malus domestica (apple). RNAcentral describes it as "long non-coding RNA (MDOM_LNC004992)". Lineage: Eukaryota; Viridiplantae; Streptophyta; Magnoliopsida; Rosales; Rosaceae. The record is from RNAcentral.